This 200-nucleotide long non-coding RNA is filed under the name Anas platyrhynchos (mallard). RNAcentral's name for it is "lncRNA (ENSAPLG00020016700.1)". The record is from RNAcentral. Lineage: Eukaryota; Metazoa; Chordata; Aves; Anseriformes; Anatidae.
ACUACAUCUUGGUUAUAAUUCUGUAGUGCAGCAAAUGAAGAUCGAUGCAGAACUAAAGUAGAUAUUGAGGGAGGCGUGAAAAAUGAAAACGAAAAGAGUGAAAUGGAAACGUAAAUCCCACAUAAAGUGGCAAAAUGUUUAAAAUGCAGAGUGGCUUAGAGCAAGUGGUGACGACUAAAAAAAGGCUCUUUCUUGGUUGA